This 401-nucleotide long non-coding RNA is filed under the name Homo sapiens (human). RNAcentral describes it as "non-protein coding lnc-TMEM26-3:4". Lineage: Eukaryota; Metazoa; Chordata; Mammalia; Primates; Hominidae. The record is from RNAcentral.
AACAUCCUCCUGGGAGGAAGCAGGGCAUGAAUCCGAAGGAAUUAGUGAAGUCCUUCCAUAGCCAUCCUUGAUGGUGGAGCGGGGGUGUGUCUCAGCAAAAAGGGCUGAAGUAUAAGGUGCUGGGACCAGUUGUCAGUAAAGGCAGUAUGAUUCAAUGAAUCAAUUAAAUCAGGAUGGAGAAGGGAAGCAAAAAGUCCAAGCCAGAUAAGUGGAACUACCCAUGAAACUGGAGGGUGUGGUGAACAAAAGCAAAAUGAUUAGUCACAAGGUCAGGAGCAAGGUGAGUCAAGGGGAGUGGUUCAGAAAGUAGACUGUGAGGAACCUUGGGAAGUGGUGAAUGGGGGUGGCUGUGUUUUAUCUCAAGCCCCACUUCUUAGUGUAAUGGGUAUGGGGCUGUCAGC